Molecule: ribosomal RNA, 253 nt
Filed under: uncultured bacterium
Lineage: Bacteria
Description: partial 16S ribosomal RNA
Rfam family: Bacterial small subunit ribosomal RNA
Source: RNAcentral
UACGAAGGGGGCUAGCGUUGUUCGGAAUUACUGGGCGUAAAGCGGGUGUAGGCGGAUCUUUAAGUCGGAGGUGAAAGCCCAGGGCUCAACCUUGGAAUUGCCUUCGAUACUGGAGAUCUGGAGUGUGGGAGAGGUGAGUGGAAUUCCGAGUGGAGAGGUGAAAUUCGUAGAUAUUCGGAGGAACACCAGAGGCGAAGGCGGCUCACUGGACCACUACUGACGCUGAGACCCGAAAGCGUGGGGAGUAAACAGG